RNAcentral lists this unclassified non-coding RNA (329 nucleotides) under soil metagenome. Its description in RNAcentral is "partial contains 5.8S ribosomal RNA, internal transcribed spacer 2, and large subunit ribosomal RNA". The stretch from base 1 to 120 matches the Rfam family "5.8S ribosomal RNA", at positions 35 to 154 of the family's 154-position model. The record is from RNAcentral.
GAUGAAGAACGCAGUGAAAUGCGAUAAGUAAUGUGAAUUGCAGAAUUCAGUGAAUCAUCGAAUCUUUGAACGCACAUUGCGCCCUCUGGUAUUCCGGGGGGCAUGCCUGUUCGAGCGUCAUUACAACCCUCAAGCUUUGCUUGGUAUUGGACAUUGCCAGUUUCUGGCAGGUCUUAAAAUCAGUGGCGGUGCCAUUUGGCUUCAAGCGUAGUAAUUCUUCUCGCUUUGGAGAUCCAAGUGGUUACUUGCCAAUAACCCCCAAUUUUUUCAGGUUGACCUCGGAUCAGGUAGGGAUACCCGCUGAACUUAAGCAUAUAAUAAGCGGAGGA